GGAGUUUGGACCGUGUCUCAGUUCCAAUGUGGGGGACCUUCCUCUCAGAACCCCUACUGAUCGCAGGCUUGGUGGGCCGUUACCCCGCCAACAACCUAAUCAGACGCAUCCCCAUCCCAUAGCGGUGAACCUUUGGUAUUCUUCUGAUGGCAUCGGAAUACAACAUAGAGCAUUAAUCCGACUUUCGCCGGGCUAUCCUCUAGUAAGGGGAAGGUUGGAUACGCGUUACUCACCCGUGCGCCGGUCGCCAUCAAAGGAAGCAAGCUUCCUUCAUGCUGCCCCACGACUUGCAUGUGUUAAGCCUGUAGCUAGCGUUCAUC
RNAcentral lists this ribosomal RNA (320 nucleotides) under uncultured Prevotella sp. Its description in RNAcentral is "partial 16S ribosomal RNA". The record is from RNAcentral. Lineage: Bacteria; Pseudomonadati; Bacteroidota; Bacteroidia; Bacteroidales; Prevotellaceae.